AGAGUUUGAUCAUGGCUCAGAACGAACGUUGGCGGCGUGGAUUAGGCAUGCAAGUCGAGCGAAUCCCGAUCCUUCGGGUGAGGGGGAAGCGGCGAAAGGGGCAGUAAUGCGUGGGUAACCUACCCUCUGGUUCAGAAUAGCCUCCCUAACGGGUGGAUAAUGCUGAAUAAAGUGGCAACACCAAAGAUUUAUCGCCGGUGGAGGGGCUCACGUGGUAUUAGCUUGUUGGUGGGGUAACGGCCUACCAAGGCAAAGAUGCCUAGCUGGUGUGGGAGCAUGACCAGCGCCACUGGGACUGAGACACUGCCCAGACUCCUACGGGAGGCUGCAGUCGAGAAUCUUCGGCAAUGGGCGCAAGCCUGACCGAGCGACGCCGCGUGUGCGAAGAAGGCCUUCGGGUUGUAAAGCACUGUCAGAGGGGACCAAAGCUUCGGCUUGAGGUAUCCUCAGAGGAAGCACGGGCUAAGUUCGUGCCAGCAGCCGCGGUAAGACGAACCGUGCGAACGUUGUUCGGAAUCACUGGGCUUAAAGGGCGCGUAGGCGGGAAACAUAGUCGGCAGGUGAAAGCCCCCAGCUCAACUGGGGAAGUGCCUUCGAUACUGGUUUUCUCGAGGAAGGUAGGGGCACGUGGAACUUCCGGUGGAGCGGUGAAAUGCGUAGAGAUCGGAAGGAACGCCGGUGGCGAAAGCGACGUGCUGGACCUUUUCUGACGCUGAGGCGCGAAAGCUAGGGUAGCGAACGGGAUUAGAUACCCCGGUAGUCCUAGCCCUAAACGAUGAGCACUAGGUUGUGGACUUAACGUGGGUUCACAGCCGAAGCAAAAGUGUUAAGUGCUCCGCCUGGGGAGUAUGGUCGCAAGGCUGAAACUCAAAGGAAUUGACGGGGGCUCACACAAGCGGUGGAGCAUGUGGCUUAAUUCGAGGCUACGCGAAGAACCUUAUCCUGGGCUUGACAUGUGCGAAAGCGUCAGGAAGUAGAGUGCGGAAACGUUACUCCAACGGUAUCCAGUCCGGAACCUGAUACAGGUGCUGCAUGGCUGUCGUCAGCUCGUGUCGUGAGAUGUUGGGUUAAGUCCCGUAACGAGCGAAACCCUUGUCUCCAGUUGCCAGCGGGUCAUGCCGGGGACUCUGGAGAGACUGCCGGUGUUAAACCGGAGGAAGGUGGGGAUGACGUCAAGUCCUCAUGGCCUUUAUGUCCAGGGCUGCACACGUGCUACAAUGGCGUGAACAAAGGGAAGCCAACCCGCGAGGGGGAGCCAAUCCCAAAAAACACGCCCCAGUUCGGAUCGUAGGCUGCAACUCGCCUACGUGAAGUUGGAAUCGCUAGUAAUCGCAGGUCAGCUACACUGCGGUGAAUGUGUUCCUGAGCCUUGUAGACACCGCCCGUA
Molecule: ribosomal RNA, 1387 nt
Filed under: uncultured bacterium
Lineage: Bacteria
Description: bacterial SSU rRNA
Rfam family: Bacterial small subunit ribosomal RNA
Source: RNAcentral